Long non-coding RNA from Esox lucius (northern pike), 1293 nucleotides. The record is from Ensembl. NCBI's taxonomy places the organism in Eukaryota, Metazoa, Chordata, Actinopteri, Esociformes, Esocidae.
CGAUGGUAUUAGAUGUGAAGAGGAGAUUGUGGAUUUUAUUAAACCAGGUAAGACGGGGCUCAGUAACGAUGGUAUUAGAUGUGAAGAGAAGAUUGUGGAUUUUAUUAAACCAGGUAAGACGGGGCUCAGUAACGAUGAUAUUAGAUGUGAAGAGAAGAUUGUGGAUUUUAUUAAACCAGGUAAGACGGGGCUCAGUAACGAUGGUAUUAGAUGUGAAGAGGAGAUUGUGGAUUUUAUUAAACCAGGUAAGACGGGGCUCAGUAACGAUGGUAUUAGAUGUGAAGAGGAGAUUGUGGAUUUUAUUAAACCAGGUAAGACGGGGCUCAGUAACGAUGGUAUUAGAUGUGAAGAGGAGAUUGUGGAUUUUAUUAAACCAGGUAAGACGGGGCUCAGUAACGAUGGUAUUAGAUGUGAAGAGGAGAUUGUGGAUUUUAUUAAACCAGGUAAGACGGGGCUCAGUAACGAUGCUCUGGGCAGUAAACAUUCUUCUGCAGAAAACGUGACGUUGAUCAUUAAAAUCGCAUUAUAAUAUUGACUUCCUCGAGUUUCGUAAUCUGGCACAUGUACAAAUAAUGACCUUUCAGCUCUUGGCACAUGCUGUUGGCCAGUCAAGAAUUGAGCAUUGAUGUGACGCUCAGUUGUCUGGUAUUGUUUUUAAUAAAACAUUUAAACUUGCGCGAGUCACUCAAGUGAAGAAGGCAGUGAAGGACAACUACGAGCUCAAAUUAAAGCAAACGUUUUUACCUCAGUGCAAUAAAUAAUUUACAUGUUUCGACUUCGAUGAAACUCAGAUGCACUGACGUCUGUCUUAAGUUCCCGGCUAGAGCGGACAAAGGCACUGACAACUUUCGCCAACAAUCCCUGACCAGCCAUGCCAAUAGCAGACAGCACCUGGCCAGCAUGACAGUCAAGCGGGUGGCUGGCAAUCCGUCUUCAGGGCCCUUGGUUUUAUCAGGAAUUUAAAUGCAGAUGCCCAUUGGGUGAUUGCAGACAUAACAACCACAUAUCUAGUAACUGAUGAACCAGCCGGUUGCCUUGCUUCCUGGGGUGAAUGAGUUAGUGUUUUGUUUGAAAGUCAAAUGCUUUUUUGACUUAUCUUUUUAUUCAUUUUCAUAAUUAGACGUAUGAAUGACAUCUAAUUCAGUCAGUUUUGCCCUGCACUUCUCUCUUUUUCCACAGUAUUGCUUUUGUGUGAGGUUAAUCAUUUAUUCUUAUCAAAAUAACAGAAUUUCAAGGUGAAAAUAUCUCCUUAUCAACUUGUGGGAGCAACCACUGUUUUUAGUUCUACUUCAU